Molecule: long non-coding RNA, 325 nt
Filed under: Malus domestica (apple)
Lineage: Eukaryota; Viridiplantae; Streptophyta; Magnoliopsida; Rosales; Rosaceae
Description: long non-coding RNA (MDOM_LNC012468)
Source: RNAcentral
ACACUUAAACGGGGAUAUGUCAGAAUCGCUAGCGAAUCCUCAUAUACCACAGAGUAAUUCUGCUAUCUAGGACCUGGAAGGGCGACAAAUAGAAGGAUGAGUGGGCAAAAACAAAAGUUUAUAAAACAUAUUUAUUUUUCAGAACAUACUAACCCCUCUCUGUAAAACAUGUAUAGUUUCCAUAAAAUCAUAGUACGUAUAAGUAUGAAAACAAUUGUAAUAAACAAUAAUGCCAGACUACGCCAAACUACAAUAUUUCAACAAUAACAUAAUGAAAACAGGUUGCUCAUCAAUCUACGAUUGCACAUGAGUUCAUGAAGAUAGU